This 253-nucleotide ribosomal RNA is filed under the name uncultured bacterium. RNAcentral describes it as "partial 16S ribosomal RNA". It matches the Rfam family "Bacterial small subunit ribosomal RNA", at positions 524 to 776 of the family's 1533-position model. The record is from RNAcentral.
GACAGAGGGUGCCAACGUUGCUCGGAAUUACUGGGCGUAAAGCGCGUGUAGGUGGCUUGUUAAGUCGGGUGUGAAAUCCCUCGGCUCAACCGAGGAAGUGCAUUCGAUACUGGCAAGCUCGAGUACCGGAGAGGGUCGUGGAAUUCCUGGUGUAGAGGUGAAAUUCGUAGAUAUCAGGAGGAACACCGGCGGCGAAGGCGGCGACCUGGACGAGUACUGACACUCAGACGCGAAAGCGUGGGGAGCAAACAGG